GUGGGGAAUAUUGCACAAUGGGGGAAACCCUGAUGCAGCGACGCCGCGUGAGUGAAGAAGUAUUUCGGUACGUAAAGCUCUAUCAGCAAGGAAGAAAAUGACGGUACUUGACUAAGAAGCCCCGGCUAACUACGUGCCAGCAGCCGCGGUAAUACGUAGGGGGCAAGCGUUAUCCGGAUUUACUGGGUGUAAAGGGAGCGUAGACGGUAUGGUAAGUCAGAUGUGAAAGCCCGGGGCUCAACCCCGGGACUGCAUUUGAAACUAUCAGACUAGAGUGCAGGAGAGGUAAGUGGAAUGCCUAGUGUAGCGGUGAAAUGCGUAGAUAUUAGGAGGAACACCAGUGGCGAAGGCGGCUUACUGGACUGUAACUGACGUUGAGGCUCGAAAGCGUGGGGAGCAAACAGGAUUAGAUACCCGUGUAGUCC
Molecule: ribosomal RNA, 425 nt
Filed under: uncultured bacterium
Lineage: Bacteria
Description: partial 16S ribosomal RNA
Rfam family: Bacterial small subunit ribosomal RNA
Source: RNAcentral